This 455-nucleotide ribosomal RNA is filed under the name Kladothrips schwarzi. Its description in RNAcentral is "partial 16S ribosomal RNA". The record is from RNAcentral. Lineage: Eukaryota; Metazoa; Arthropoda; Insecta; Thysanoptera; Phlaeothripidae.
CUCUUAUUUUAAGUAUUUAUAAUAAGUAAAACCUGCCCGGUGAAUUUUAUUUAAACGGCUAUAUAAUAAUAUUAAGGUAGCGUAAUAAGUUGUCUCUUAAUUAGUGAAUAUAAUGAAGGUAAUAUGAAUUGAACUCUGUCUUAAAAAAUAGUAAAAAAUUAAUAAUUAAGUGAAAAAUCUUAAUUUUUCUUAAAAGACGAUAAGACCCUAUAGAACUUAUUUAUAGUUAUAAAUUUACUGGGGAAGUAAAAAUAUAAAAAAAAUUAUUUUUAAAAUUAAAAACCUUAAGUUAUUAACCAUUAAUUUUAAGAUUAAAAAGUUACCUUAGGGAUAACAGCAUUAAUAAUAUAUAAAGUCCUUAUUUUAAUAUUUUUUAAUGACCUCGAUGUUGAAUUAAGAUAAAAUUAAAAAGAAAAAAUUUUAAUUUUUUAGGUCUGUUCGACCUUUAAAAUCUU